RNAcentral lists this transfer RNA (70 nucleotides) under Anomaloglossus leopardus. Its description in RNAcentral is "tRNA-Phe". It matches the Rfam family "tRNA". Rfam says of the family: Transfer RNA (tRNA) molecules are approximately 80 nucleotides in length. The record is from RNAcentral. Lineage: Eukaryota; Metazoa; Chordata; Amphibia; Anura; Aromobatidae.
GUUUAGAUAGCUUAAUAUUAAAGCAUGGCACUGAAAAUGCCAAGAUGGGCCCUAAAAAGCCCUCCUAACA